Molecule: long non-coding RNA, 993 nt
Filed under: Salvia miltiorrhiza (redroot sage)
Lineage: Eukaryota; Viridiplantae; Streptophyta; Magnoliopsida; Lamiales; Lamiaceae
Description: long non-coding RNA (SMIL_LNC006552)
Source: RNAcentral
UCUCUCUUCGGCUGGUAACAGCCGCCCACCGUGGUGCUCGCCGGAGGAGCAGCAGCGACAAGCCGCGCCACCGUCGACAGCAGCAACAGAUGAGCGGGCUGCCACCGGCGCCCUCUAUCUCCCAUGCUCCAUCUUCGGCCGGACAACAGCGGCGGAGCCGCCGCCGAGCCCUAGCCUCCCUCUACCUCUCAACUCUACACCACAGCAAGGUAAAUCUCUCUCUUACCCGACUCAGUACAACGACUUAAAAAGAGAGGCAAACUCAGAAAAUACCUUUCUUUGAAACUCGAGCUCUUGUUUAGAACGAAAACAAUAAAUCUUCUUCAAAUCAUAUAUAUAUAUAUCUCAUAUAUGCAGAAUGGUGAUGGUAAUUAUAUACAUAUAUAUGUGUCUAACAAAUCCAUGAAUAUACUGUAUAAAAAUGUUAGGUGUAACUGAAAUUGGUUUGAUGACCAAGGUGUGUAAGUCAUGUGUAAAAUGGUGCGGGUAUAGAUAUUCAAAGAUUAAACCUUUAGAAGGACUCACACUUGCUGAAUUUCUCUUGAGUGUUUGCUUGCUUUGAUGGGAACGAUGGAUGAUGAGGAUUUUUCUGAAAUACAUUUGUAUUCUUCAACAAAUGCAGGGUGAAACAUGAAGAGGAUGAGGAAAAUUGAAGCUAAGAUUUACCUUGAAUGAUGGCAGAAAAAAAUGCAUGGAGUUCUCCUACUUGCUCUUCUCGUGGAGUUAGUGAAGAAUGGUGAAGUAGUUGCUGCCUUGAAUCAUUAAAGAAGGAAGAUUGAAAGUUGCAGGGAAAGUGUCGUUUGUGGAAGACAACUUUAGUGUAAAGUGUGAGUGGAAAGGUGGAAAGAGUGUGAGUGGGAUUUGUUAAGUGGAAAUUGAAAGAUUUGGCUGAUUUGUGAGAUUUGAUUGUCUGUAUAAAGAUAUGUAUAAAAAUAAAAUAAUCAUGAUAUAGAGUAGCUAUUAGGAACAUAAAAUACCGGGACUGUAAUAAUA